This is a long non-coding RNA of Aphis gossypii (cotton aphid), 1517 nucleotides long. RefSeq lists it as uncharacterized. NCBI's taxonomy places the organism in Eukaryota, Metazoa, Arthropoda, Insecta, Hemiptera, Aphididae. The transcript is spliced from 3 exons. The record is from RefSeq and is a predicted model, not a curated record.
AUAACUUAUUAUAUUUCAUGAUAUAGGUAGGUACCUAUAGUUUUUAAAUUUUUAGAGUGUAGCGAUACAAUGAUAAUAUGAUAAUAUGUAAGUAUUACAUAUUUAUACUUACUAACAUUAAAAAUCGUAUAUUAUAUGGGAGAUAAAGUCGUUUGAAAUAUGCCGUACGAAUAAAAACGGGAAAAUUUAUUAUAAAAAUAAAAAUUCACGCGAAAUUCCGAUAUGAGAUUACACUUUAUCUUAAUCUACCGAUUGGGUACAAAUAGAUUUCAGAUAUGUAAUUAUUUCACGACACGAUCAAUAACACAAUAUUAUAGUUCAGUGUUCAGACCAGACGUUCAGUCUUCAGUGUAUCAGUGUAUCCUGUGUAUCUACAUUCUGCAGACAGCGCACUUGUGUAAGUCAAAAAGUUUAAUGUGACAUAUUAUCAUGUACAUCGAUUUUAAAAGUUCAAAAAUUGAAAACAUACAGUUACCUACCGUAAUAAUGUAAUAAUAUAACUCUCGAUGAUUUAUAUAGAGAAAAUAUUGUAUAUUCAAUUUGAAAAGUUGACAAUACUAUACUAAUAAGUAAUAACAAACAACACUUGUGCCUUGUGAGUUGUGGUAGUGGAUAAGAAAAAAACGGUGAAAAUAUAGCUUACAGAAACGACGAAAAAUAUGGAACGGAAUUGCAAUAAAAGUUUUAGAAUUUAGAACAAGAGAAGACUAUAGGUGAUGAGUUAAAAAUUGACAGUGGUGCUGACGAUGAUUUUUAAGAAAUAGUUGACAGUUUACACAAUGAAAGAUAUAUUUCUCCAAUCACCUCACGACAACAAACUUUGCCAGAUAACCCAAUAAGAUAUUAGAGCACGUAGCAAUAUUGGCAAUAUUGUGGUAUACUCGGAGGAUCAUGUCUUAUUUAAUGACAUGGUAUUAUAGUGGACACAUAAUAUACAGCAGAUCGGUCAGAUAGUUUCUAAUAAAUAUUAGUAAUCUAUUUUUUUAUAAUAACAAUUUAUUUUGGUUUUCAUUACUUCUUUUAUCUUAUUUAUUCAAUUAUUUUAUAAAUAUUCACAAAACGGCUUUUUAAAAAAGUAUAGCAAUAUCAUUAAUAACACAUUUUAGAAAACCAGUUUUAGUAAAUUUAAUUAAAUGGUUCAAGCUAAUAUGUACUUAUUUAUAUAGUGGUUGUAAUAAACUAUCAAAAAAUGAAUCUGAAGUUCAGGAUUAAUAAAUUUUAGUUUCAACCUAAAAGAGGACGAUUAUGAUAAAAAGAGAAAUAUUUUACAGAGGUUAAAACAAAUAAAAUGAAGAAAAGCAUGCAGAUACAAAGCUGGGGAACAAGAGAUAAAUUUGAUUGAAAAUUUAGUGAAACACAAUAAAAAGAAUGGAAAGAUAAAUGAAAUAUUAUAUAAUUUAUUUUAGCUAUAUUUUUAAAUUGUCUAUACAUUUUCUAUGUCAAAAAUGUAAUAACAUUUAACAAUAACAUAUGAUGAAGAUAUUUAAUAAUUUACUGAGAUAUGUUUAGCUUAUAAU